Long non-coding RNA from Rhopalosiphum padi (bird cherry-oat aphid), 251 nucleotides. RefSeq lists it as uncharacterized. Lineage: Eukaryota; Metazoa; Arthropoda; Insecta; Hemiptera; Aphididae. The record is from RefSeq and is a predicted model, not a curated record. The transcript has 6 exons.
GAGGAACAAUAUAAUAUUUGCUGUGGACAAAUGAUGACAAAACAAUUAAUGAAGAGAAAUUAUGAGUCCAUGCAUGCCUGGAAUCAGAAAGUUUUAAAAAUAGAUCCAAUAGAUUUGGGGAAUCCAAUUUUUUCUUAUGUAAUACAAUGGAAAAGUAAUAUAGAUAAUUUAGUAAAAAGAAGAAAGUUUAACCCAAAAGAUUAUUGUGAGCUUUACGGUUAUAAAUCAAAUAAUAUGGAAUUAGGUAAGGA